Long non-coding RNA from Ostrinia nubilalis (European corn borer), 453 nucleotides. RefSeq lists it as uncharacterized. The transcript is spliced from 3 exons. The record is from RefSeq and is a predicted model, not a curated record. NCBI's taxonomy places the organism in Eukaryota, Metazoa, Arthropoda, Insecta, Lepidoptera, Crambidae.
UAAGACGUGUCCAUCAAAGUUAACCCAUAGUUCUUGUGUGGUUUCCCCAUAGGCAACAAUACUUACGAUAUAAAUAUGGUGAAGGUUCUGUUUAUCGCAAUGGCGCUGGUGGCUGUAGCGUUAGCCGCUCCAGGUCACGAUAACCACGACAGUCACGGGCCCCUUGGAAAAGUUUAUCACAACAGCCACGAACACGGUGGUGCCGGCCACGGGCCAAUAGGAAAAGCCCAUGACAGCCCUGUAGAAAAAAUUGUCAAACACGGUAUUGAACACAGACUAGAGAGCAGUCACGGACACGGGGGUCACGGUAGCGGACCUGCAGGAAAAGUUCUGGAACAUGUCCAUAAACACUGAUACUGAAGAAUCGCGAUAACCGACUGACUGUAUAACAAUGAUAUAAGUUUGUAAUAUGGAAAAUACAUAAGUUAUUAAUUUUGUAAGAAAUAAAUAUAC